UAUCUCUGUAGAGUCUGCAUAUCAAUAAGCGGAGGAAAAGAAACUAACUAGGAUUCCCUCAGUAACGGCGAGUGAAGCGGGAAGAGCUCAAAUUUGAAAUCUUCAAGGUUCUACCUUGACGAAUUGUAGUUUGAAGAAGUGUUUUCUGUUGAGUGUUUCGGUAAAAGUUCUUUGGAAUAGGACAUCAUAGAGGGUGAGAAUCCCGUAUUUGACCAUUAUUUUCAGCUGUGUGAUACACUUUCAAAGAGUCGGAUUGUUUGGGAAUGCAGUCCAAAAUGGGUGGUAAAUUUCAUCUAAAGCUAAAUAUUGGCGAGAGACCGAUAGCGGACAAGUACCGUGAGGGAAAGAUGAAAAGAACUUUGAAAAGAGAGUUAAACAGUACGUGAAAUUGUCAAAAGGGAAGCGUUUGACACCAGUGUUGUUUUCUCGAAAAUCAAUUAAAAAUGGCUUGAUUUUGUGUUGUAUUGACCUUAAAAGCUUUCUUCACUUUUUUCAUGUCUUUUUUAAUGCACUUUUCGUUUAACAAGUCAACAUCAGUUUCUUUUGUUGUAAAAAGGUCAUUGGAAGGUGGCUUUCUUUUCGGAGAAAGUGUUUAUAGCCUUUGACUUCUGCAAUCGGAGAGACUGAGGUCUGCAGCGUAGAUCCUUCUGGAUUAGAUUCAUUUGUGCUAAGUUACAACCGUUUAUAGACAACUUGUUGACUAUAUUCGAUCCUGUAGCUUACUCGCUUAUGUAAUUUUACCUACGCUUAGGAUGUUGAUCUGUAGUGCGUGCGC
This 775-nucleotide ribosomal RNA is filed under the name uncultured Neocallimastigales. Its description in RNAcentral is "partial large subunit ribosomal RNA". It matches the Rfam family "Eukaryotic large subunit ribosomal RNA", at positions 24 to 625 of the family's 3401-position model. Lineage: Eukaryota; Fungi; Neocallimastigomycota; Neocallimastigomycetes; Neocallimastigales. The record is from RNAcentral.